This 478-nucleotide ribosomal RNA is filed under the name uncultured bacterium. RNAcentral's name for it is "partial 16S ribosomal RNA". It matches the Rfam family "Bacterial small subunit ribosomal RNA", at positions 28 to 507 of the family's 1533-position model. The record is from RNAcentral.
GACGAACGCUGGUGGCGUGCUUAACACAUGCAAGUCGAACGGGAUUUCGUAAACAGAAGCCUCGGUGGAAGUUUACUAUAGAGAGUGGCCCACGGGUGAGUAACGCGUGAGCAACCUGCCUUUCUCAGAGGGAUAGCCUCGGGAAACCGGGAUUAAUACAUCAUAAAAUCGUUGAAACACAUGUUUUAACGUUCAAAGCUUUAUCGGUCAUAGAUGGGCUCGCGUUUGCUUAGCUAGUUGGGGAGAUAACAGCCAACCAAGGCGACGAUCAGUAGCCGGUCAGAGAGGAUGGACAGCAACAUUGGAACUGAGGCACGUUACACACUCCGGCGGGAGGAGGCAGUAAGGAAUAUCGCACAAUGAAGAAACUGCUGCUGCAGCGCCGCGGGGUGGACGAAGAAGUUCGGCAUAUAAAGAAGUUCCGUCUGAGAAGAAGAUAAUGACAGUACCAAAGAAAAAAGCGCCGGCUAAAUACGUG